CAGCGGCGGACGGGUGAGUAAUGCCUAGGAAUCUGCCCGAUAGUGGGGGACAACUGUUUCGAAAGGAACGCUAAUACCGCAUACGUCCUACGGGAGAAAGCAGGGGACCUUCGGGCCUUGCGCUAUCGGAUGAGCCUAGGUCGGAUUAGCUAGUUGGUGGGGUAAAGGCUCACCAAGGCGACGAUCCGUAACUGGUCUGAGAGGAUGAUCAGUCACACUGGAACUGAGACACGGUCCAGACUCCUACGGGAGGCAGCAGUGGGGAAUAUUGGACAAUGGGCGAAAGCCUGAUCCAGCCAUGCCGCGUGUGUGAAGAAGGUCUUCGGAUUGUAAAGCACUUUAAGCUGGGAGGAAGGGCAGUAAGUUAAUACCUUGCUGUUUUGACGUUACCAGCAGAAUAAGCACCGGCUAACUUCGUGCCAGCAGCCGCGGUAAUACGAAGGGUGCAAGCGUUAAUCGGAAUUACUGGGCGUAAAGCGCGCGUAGGUGGUUCAGCAAGUUGGAUGUGAAAGCCCCGGGCUCAACCUGGGAACUGCAUCCAAAACUACUGGGCUAGAGUAUGGUAGAGGGUGGUGGAAUUUCCUGUGUAGCGGUGAAAUGCGUAGAUAUAGGAAGGAACACCAGUGGCGAAGGCGACCACCUGGACUAAUACUGACACUGAGGCGCGAAAGCGUGGGGAGCAAACAGGAUUAGAUACCCUGGUAGUCCACGCCGUAAACGAUGUCAACUAGUUGUUGGGUUCCUUGAGGACUUAGUAACGAAGCUAACGCGAUAAGUUGACCGCCUGGGAGUACGGCCGCAAGGUUAAAACUCAAAUGAAUUGACGGGGG
This 830-nucleotide ribosomal RNA is filed under the name uncultured bacterium. RNAcentral's name for it is "bacterial SSU rRNA". It matches the Rfam family "Bacterial small subunit ribosomal RNA", at positions 93 to 919 of the family's 1533-position model. The record is from RNAcentral.